Molecule: long non-coding RNA, 1876 nt
Organism: Pezoporus occidentalis (night parrot)
Lineage: Eukaryota; Metazoa; Chordata; Aves; Psittaciformes; Psittacidae
Exons: 2
Source: RefSeq, a predicted model, not a curated record
UAUAGGCUUGGCUGGGUUUGCUGAAUAAGUACUGGAUCCUAAUGAACAGAAUGGUAUGUGAAAAAGAUUUGUGAAGACCAUGUUUCUUCAGAGAAGGCUAUAAAAUCAGAUUUAUGUUUCUUUGUAACUUUACAUUUUCAUUUCAGAAGGAAGUUGGGAGAUCACUUUGAGUUAACUAGUGUUGUUUCUGCAAGUACGACAGUGGUUGAGCAUGUGUCCUAACAUCUGUCUUUGACAGGGAAUGGCUUUCCAAGGCCAGUUAGCUUAUUUUGCACAUCAGUCAUCCCUAGGAAAUCUGCUGGUGGUUGUGAAUUCUGUCUGUGUUCCUUUCCCAGCUGGGCUGAUUUCAAUGCAACAGUUUUUUCUCUGUGUGUUAUGGCGCCUAUUGCAGGUUUCACUGAAGGCCCGUCCCCCCUGGUGAGCUCAUUAACUUGUCAGCAUUUCAGUAAUUACAGAAUUUUGAGUGCUGGGCCCAGUACUGCACCUCUUAAUUAAUUCUCUUGAAAAACACAUGUUGGUCUCCCAUCACCAUUGCACAGGCUUAUAUAACCUUUACUGACCAUGUUGUUGCACUUACAUAGUACUGAGCAGUGUGGUGUCCUCUUCUCCAAAUGCAACCACAGUGAGGAGUCACUGCACAUUCUGAGUGGCUGUUACUGUCCCCUAUGCCCUCUGUAAAAGUCUUACUCAGAGGAUGCCAGAAUGGGGGGUCUCUGGGUUCCUCAGCUCACUGGGGACAUCAGGAACAUGCUGCCUCAGAAUCAAGCCAUCAGUACUAGUUUUCAAGACCGUAUUCAGGAUAUGAUGAUAGUCAUACUGCAUCUACUGUGUUAUUCACUGCUGCAUAAUCAAAACCUAAAGGCCGGCCUUUGUGUGAAAAUGCAAUAUGGAACAUUAAUUAGCACGAAAGUGAAAACGUGAAGAUGAGGAAUAACAAGAGCAUUUGGAAGCCACUGAAAUUAAGAGUCUCCUGAAUGACAUCUGCAGAGUACUACAUGAGAUUGCAGCAUAUUCAGUCAAGAUCACCAAAUCUCUGCUCAUUUGCUCUAAGUUCAAAUUAAGCACCGUUCUAAGAACAAAAGAAAAUGACAAAAGGAGUCUUGUGCCUCAACAUUCAACAUGAAAUUUAUGUAACAUAUUUGUAGCUCAGGAAAUAAUAAAUAUUUCAUUAAAAAUGAUAUUAAAUCAGUAUUUGUAAUUUCAAUUGUGAGACAUUUUGGCUUUAUUUGAAUGGUCUAAUAGAAGUUCAUGUAGCAAGUUCAUUGCAAUCUCUGUCUUUCAUUUUGUGGGUCAGACAGUCCAUUGCAGCUAAUGCAUCUGUGGAAUCUAUGGGAUAAAUGUUUUUUCAGGUUCCACCUGAUGUAUGCAUAUUUUGAGCUGCUCUUGUAUUUUGUGCCAAGCUGAUGUAUCACACAAAGCAUUCUUCGACUUACAGGUUUACACGGAAUGUAAAGCCACAACUGUAGUUCCCAUUUAUCCAUGGCUGUCUCCAUGUUCUUCUCCAAAGCUCUUCCCAGUUUAUAGUUCAGAAAUUUUACGACCUCUUGGUUGGGACUGAAAUGAAGGUUUUUUGAUGGAUUUUUGAAAUAGAAUGUUGGCUUCUCGCCAUUGUGGGGAGUUGUUAGGAAACCUCUGGGGAAAAUGGAGUAAACAGUGUGGCUGAAGAUAAUAACUUACAUCGAUUUCACAAGGACAACUAAAAAAAAGAGGAACAAUAUCAAAGUUCUCAUUGCCCUCUUCACGGGUUUAUGAUGUCUUUUAUAUUUACAGUCCAUCUCUUCUCUGAAGAAAAUAAUAACCAAUAAUAAAAUUUUAUCACCUAAAGUAUAUUUUUAAGACAAAACCUAUUAUAUUUAUUUAAAAAAACAAAACAAAA